Long non-coding RNA from Macaca mulatta (Rhesus monkey), 799 nucleotides. RefSeq lists it as uncharacterized. Lineage: Eukaryota; Metazoa; Chordata; Mammalia; Primates; Cercopithecidae. The record is from RefSeq and is a predicted model, not a curated record.
GGCUGCAGGCUGUGAGGCUGGGCCGCACUCCGGCCACGCUUUGUCCGGCUUUAGCGGGAUACCAGAGGCACUCGUUAAAGCAAAUGCAUCCCUGCAAACCCAUUCUCGCCCUGACACUUCAAGGCUUUAUAUAGAAACAGGAUUUGCUCGUCUUACACCGGCAGUCCCUAUUAACGCUCGCCCGGCGCACACACCACCCUAAUCCGCGAGGCCGCGGCGUACCCUGGUCCCCUCCCCCCGCCACAACAGCCGUUUUGUUCCCGCAGAAAGCGCCUCGUUGUCCCAGCCCCGGAACGUCUUAAGGAGAACAUCCACUCAGGCGAAAUUGGGGACAAUUUCAGACUCUGGGUGCGGAGGAUCGGAGCCAGUGAUAGAAGCUACGUGCACCACCUUGCUCCCAGGCGUUCCUCCAAAGGCGCUCCCCGGCCGCACUUCACAUAUUCCUCCUCAUCUCCUAAAUACGUAUUGUUUUUAAUGUUUAUCGCCUCCAACAAAAGGGAGAUGGAUAGGCUUGAUAUUCUUAAUUAGGAACUUUGCAGAAAACCUUGUGUUUUUGUAGCCAUCCCACCAUGACAACAAAGCGAUUAAGAUGUUUUCCAUCUCCUGAAUACCUUUUUAAAUUGCGAUAUUUUAUGCUCCCGGUUCUAAAACGUGUUAUUUGCAGACUAUUUUGUGUCUGAUUUAAUCUAUAACCGAAAACAUAAUGUAUUAAGUGAAUACAUAUUUGCUCUGCUGAUAAGCUUUUUUAAUAUUUAUUCGGAGAGCUUUUGCAUUGUAAAUAAAUGGGUCUACACAAAGA